This 1389-nucleotide ribosomal RNA is filed under the name Pseudoalteromonas arctica. RNAcentral describes it as "partial 23S ribosomal RNA". It matches the Rfam family "Bacterial large subunit ribosomal RNA", at positions 1579 to 2925 of the family's 2925-position model. The record is from RNAcentral. Lineage: Bacteria; Pseudomonadati; Pseudomonadota; Gammaproteobacteria; Alteromonadales; Pseudoalteromonadaceae.
AAGGUGAUGAAGUUGCUGAUGCCAUACUUCCAGGAAAAGCCUCUAAGCUUCAGAUUAUACCGAAUCGUACCCCAAACCGACACAGGUGGUCAGGUAGAGAAUACUAAGGCGCUUGAGAGAACUCGGGUGAAGGAACUAGGCAAAAUCGUACCGUAACUUCGGGAGAAGGUACGCUCCUAUCUGUGAUGAGACUUGCUCUCUAAGCGGACGGGAGCCGCAGUGACCAGGUGGCUGGGACUGUUUAUUAAAAACACAGCACUGUGCAAAAUCGCAAGAUGACGUAUACGGUGUGACACCUGCCCGGUGCCGGAAGGUUAAUUGAUGGGGUUAGUUUUCGGACGAAGCUCUUGAUCGAAGCCCCGGUAAACGGCGGCCGUAACUAUAACGGUCCUAAGGUAGCGAAAUUCCUUGUCGGGUAAGUUCCGACCUGCACGAAUGGUGUAACCAUGGCCACGCUGUCUCCACCCGAGACUCAGUGAAAUUGAAAUCGCAGUGAAGAUGCUGUGUACCCGCGGCUAGACGGAAAGACCCCGUGAACCUUUACUACAGCUUGGCACUGAACAUUGAACCUACAUGUGUAGGAUAGGUGGGAGACUUAGAAGAUGAGACGCUAGUUUUGUUGGAGUCGUCCUUGAAAUACCACCCUUGUAGUUUUGAUGUUCUAACGUUGGCCCCUGAAUCGGGGUUACGGACAGUGCCUGGUGGGUAGUUUGACUGGGGCGGUCUCCUCCCAAAGAGUAACGGAGGAGCACGAAGGUUGGCUAAGUACGGUCGGACAUCGUACGGUUAGUGUAAUGGUAGAAGCCAGCUUAACUGCGAGACAGACACGUCGAGCAGGUACGAAAGUAGGUCAUAGUGAUCCGGUGGUUCUGAAUGGAAGGGCCAUCGCUCAACGGAUAAAAGGUACUCCGGGGAUAACAGGCUGAUACCGCCCAAGAGUUCAUAUCGACGGCGGUGUUUGGCACCUCGAUGUCGGCUCAUCACAUCCUGGGGCUGAAGUCGGUCCCAAGGGUAUGGCUGUUCGCCAUUUAAAGUGGUACGCGAGCUGGGUUUAGAACGUCGUGAGACAGUUCGGUCCCUAUCUGCCGUGGGCGUUUGAGAAUUGAGAGGGGUUGCUCCUAGUACGAGAGGACCGGAGUGAACGAACCGCUGGUGUUCGGGUUGUCAUGCCAAUGGCAUUGCCCGGUAGCUACGUUCGGAACUGAUAAGCGCUGAAAGCAUCUAAGCGCGAAGCAGGCCUCGAGAUGAGUUCUCACUAGACUUUUAAAGUCUCUGAAGGGCCGUUGAAGACUACAACGUUGAUAGGCAAGAUGUGGAAGUGGUGUGAGCCAUUAAGCUAACUUGUACUAAUUACCCGUGAGGCUUAACCAUACAACGCCAAACGCGUUU